UUGCUGCUUGUAAUGUAAUUUCCAUUUUUUAUUAUAGAAUUCUUAUGAAAUGUUUUCCUUUCUUUAUUUCAUUAUUAUGCUUAUUUUAGCAAAUAACAAGUUGACUUUCUAUAAAUCAUAUUUUUGUUUUUCUGUUUCGGAAGCCGUGUAAUGGUUACAUCUUCGAUAUAGUUGGGAAGGUUUAAAACUAAGUAUGUAUCACUUAAUUAUUAUUCAGGAGUGGGUUUAUCUACUGACACUAUUUCUAUAAGAAUUACAGAAUUACAUGCAUGUUACAGUGACGGAAGCAAUGACACGCCCAGAAGGAAACUGGAAGCUGUACCAUGAGGUCGGAAGCUGCAACCACUGGACUUGGCGGAUAAAAAUCAGAAAACCAAUAUACUGGAGCCAAUAGAACUCACUGAAACAAGGAAAUUAAAGAAGAAAAAGAAACGAAGAUCGAAGAAGGAAAAGCGCAGGACGAUGGCGAAUAUUAGGUUGACUCGUACGGUUAUGUUGCUCCCUGUGAUGAACAAUGUCUGACCCAGAAAAAGUAUUGUAUAAGAGUCAGUUGUACAGGUUGUCAGCUGUGGAUCAUAUGUUGGUCAGCAGCAUUGUUUAAUAUGUUUUAGUGUGAAUUGUCAUUAUUCCGUCCUUAGUUGUCUUGAGAAACUUGACCAUAUCUUAGAUGAAAUGUGUACGUAUAUUACGAUGAAGUACAAAAUUAUAACUAAGAUAAAUGCACAGCGCGCACUCUACAUAGGCAAGAAUACAGAUAAAAUUUUGACUGUUACAAACUAGAAUAAUUGUACAUCUGACAACUGAACAUUUUCGAAACGUUUUUGGAUUUUUCAACACGAUCUUAAAAUCCGGAUUUUAAUCUUCUCUCCUCUGUGGCCAUUUAGAUAGUCAAAAAUGCAUAUUAAACUAUAUGUUAAAAACAUAGAAAUUAUUAGUUGGUAGUUGUUUGCAAGACCUUAGUAUUUGUCCUUUGGCAAUUUUAACAACCUCAGGAAAUAUUAUAUGUUGCUAUGGAGUAAAUAUUCCGCACGUUUGGAAUUCGCACCUAAUUAUAAACUGUUUACCGGCCCAGAACUUGUGUAUGGGUGUCAAACGAUACAGUGUUUCUUGUUAAUCAUGAAUAAAAAUAUCCUGAAAUUCAUUUUCAUAUUGUUAAGUUUAUAUAAACAAAUAGCCCGGGUUAGCAAAGGUCAACUGAGAGGAUUCUUAUCGUUUUAUUUUGUCUUGCAAAACAGUUACUCUAUAUGUGGGUCAUAUGGAAAAUAUUUUGUUUGAACAUUGUAUUCUUGAUCUUAUAUAAGUUUGUGAACGCUUUUGGUGUAAAGACUGAAACAACCGUCCAUACUAUAAAAUUGGCAGCUUUGUAUGAUAAGUACUAUAGAAUGAUUAAUAUCUAUGUAUCUUUGAAACUUUGUUAGAAGAUUUAACACGUCGGUGACGACGGUCUGUGUAUAUAUAACAAAACUAUGUUAAAAGGAAAGUGUUUGGAUAUUGAAAAAAAAUACAAAUAGGUAAAGAAAGUACAGUGUUUGAUUUCAUCGUAAAUUUAGUUACUGUUCCGCGUUUAACGGGAUCUUCUGUAUUUUUUGUUGCAAACAAAAUGUCUGUCACAACUGCAAUGCAUGCCGUCCAAAAUGUAGGCCUUUAACACCAAAGUAAAGAUUAUGAAAAGUUCUUUUUACACAACCAAUAAGUGUUUAUAUGUGACGUUCCAAUGACUAGUACGGUAUGAACACUGUCACCUUCAUCAGACAAAUGGGCAGUGAAGCGUACGAACACAAAAGUGUUAAAUGUGUACGAGUUGUACACAAAAUCGAUGUCGCUUCCGCUACGCUGUAAGCGAAUGUACAAUAGUUGUUAUGUAUGUACCGAGAUGACUCGAGUCAUCGAAACAUUACUUACUUACCAACCUGAAGAAAAUGUUUUGAAACAAAGUGAAGCAGCACUCAGGAGGAGGACUUUUCUGUGCUUUCUGUUGCAUUUUGACUACUUUUCUUGACCCUACCAAACAUCUGUUGGAAUUUGCCGUCAUACAUUCGACUUAAAAGAACGGUGAACGAUACGAUUAGAUCUGGAAGAAAGACCAGAGCAAUUUCAGUUCUUGAAAAUAUUUCUUAUGAAUUAUUGUAUUAAGAAAACGAAAUGUUAACAUUUUUGUAUAUAGAUUAUAUCAUUUGUUUUUGUCAUCUCAUAUGUUCUCAUAGGACCAGGUUCGUAAAUCAGGGAUAGACCGAAACUGAAGUUCAUAAUAGUUUUAUUAUAUGACAUUUUAUAAU
Long non-coding RNA from Mizuhopecten yessoensis (Yesso scallop), 2276 nucleotides. RefSeq lists it as uncharacterized. The record is from RefSeq and is a predicted model, not a curated record. NCBI's taxonomy places the organism in Eukaryota, Metazoa, Mollusca, Bivalvia, Pectinida, Pectinidae. The transcript is spliced from 3 exons.